This is a long non-coding RNA of Girardinichthys multiradiatus, 703 nucleotides long. RefSeq lists it as uncharacterized. Lineage: Eukaryota; Metazoa; Chordata; Actinopteri; Cyprinodontiformes; Goodeidae. The transcript is spliced from 2 exons. The record is from RefSeq and is a predicted model, not a curated record.
GUUUGUGUGGACAAACUUAGCCAAUAAAGCUGAUUCUGAUUCUAAGGGGAAACACAACACCUGUGUUCGUAUUUCAGAUAUGUGGACCGAUAGCAACACUGAUAUCUAGCGACAUGCAUAUAGCGCAGUAUAUAUAGCAGUAUAUAUGGGUAUAUAUUGUGCCAAGUUGGUUGGUUGCAUACUUUAAAUGUACUCAUAAAAAGGUUCUUGAUCAAACCACUGUUUGCUGUCUGACAUGAGGAAGAUAGAGGGCUUUUUCCAACAGCAAUACCAGGAGAGACUGACAGAAGUGCAGGAGCAUGCACUGAAGCUAAUUCAAGAGGUGGACACUUGGAAGAGCACAUAUCUAAUGCUUUAGUAGGCCUAUGCACUGACAGUAGCCCUCUCUCAUCUGAACAGUAUGAAAUCAUUGCACAAUGUCUAAAAGUGCUGCCCCCAUUUAAUGAUGCCACAGUUGAGUUGUCAGAGGAAAAGAGAGUGUCAGGAUCAAAAGUCAUUCUCCUAUUAUCAAUGCUGUUUUGGUAGGGACCGAAAAAUGCUUCUCACAGCUUGUAAACAUGCUGUUGCUUUACGGCUCCCCCCGCUUCAUUUGUGCUCUGUGAAAGUGUUAUUUAAAGAAGGCAAAAUCUUCUCAAAAAAGAGAAACCGCCGGAAACCCAGCAUAGUGGAAAAGGUAUUUUAAAAUAAAAAUAAAUAAAAUGUC